AUCUUCCAGCCCCUGUAAUACUCUCAAACCACCACCCCAAAGGCCCAAACCGUCCUCAUCCUCAUUCCGGUAUCUUCAUUCCCUCUACAGUUCGUUUGCUGCUGUUGGGACCAAGAAACUCUCUACAGUGCCGUCGGGCACCAUCUUCUUCAUCCAAUUGAAAAAUCAUACAUAUAAAGCAUAUUUCCAUUUUCCAAGCCGACAAUUCGACUCAGUAUGCAACAAAUUCCCAAAUUCUAAACACCCAUAUGAUUUUCUUACAAUAUGGAGCUCUUUACUUUCGACAACAGUCGCCUCAACAACUUACCCUCUUCUUUACUCACUUCGCCCACCAAGUGUUUGAUGAAAUGCCUGAACCAACGCCCGCACUCUUUUUCAAACCCAUCUUCUUUGCUUAUCACAGCAGCCAAAAAGAAGUCUCACACCCCUUCUUCACAAGGCAUCCAAAAGUCUACUGAGAAACAAUUGUCUCGUAUUCUAAGGUCAGAGGCUGCCAUUGAAGCCAUUGAGAGAAAAGCCAACUCAGCCACUGUUAAGCAUACCCGGUUUUCGCCAAAACUUGUUUUGGAAGCUUUGGAUAAUGCCAUUCGCCAUAGACGAUGGGAAUCUGCUCUUAAGAUAUUCGAUCUUCUUCGUAGUCAACAUUGGUACGAGCCAAGAUGCCAAACAUACACAAAGCUAUUGAUUUUACUAGGAAAAUGCAAGCAGCCCAUGAAAGCUGGCUUGCUUUUUGAGUUGAUGUUGCAGGAUGGGCUUAAGCCGACUAUCGAUGUUUAUACCGCACUCGUUAGUGCGUUCGGUUACUCUGGACUCCUUGACAAAUCGUUAGAAAUCAUUGAUCGAAUGAAGUUGAUACCCGACUGCAAACCUGAUGUGUAUACAUACUCGGUUUUAAUAAAUUGUUGCACUAAGCUUCGCCGAUUUGAUAUGAUUAAGCGUAUUCUUGCUGACAUGGAAUAUUCGGGAGUCGAAUGCAGCAUUGUGACGUAUAAUACUAUUAUUGAUGGGUAUGGGAAAGCGGGAUUGUUUAAAUUGAUGGAAAAUAUGUUGACGGAUAUGCUUGAGGAUGGGAUGUGUCUUCCAGAUGUUUUCACGUUCAAUUCGGUUAUUGGUGCUUAUGGUAAUUUAGGUAUGAUUGUUGAAAUGGAGAAGUGGUUUGAUGAAUUUCAACUGAUGGGGAUAAAACCGAAUGUGAUGACAUUUAAUAUACUAAUUAAGUCGUAUGGGAAAGUGGGAAUGUACGACAAAAUGGGGUCGGUUAUGGACUAUAUGAGUAAAAGGUUCAUUCCUCCAACUGUUAUUACUUUCAACGUGAUUAUCGAAGCGUAUAAAAGGGCGGGAAAUAUCAAGAAAAUGGAAGAGGUUUUCUUGAAAAUGAAGCAUCAAGGAUUGAAACCUAAUGCGGUUACGUAUUGUUCUCUUGUGAGUGCGUAUGGUAAAGCUGGACUUAUGGAAAAGAUCGAUUCAAUCAUGAGGCAGAUAGAGAAUUCUGACGUGAUUCUCGAUACAACGUUUUUUAAUAGCGUCAUCGGCGUGUAUGGUCAAGCACGCGAUACGAAAAAAAUGAGUGAAAUGUUGUUGGCAAUGAAGGAUAGAGGCUGUGAACCGGAUGACGUUACGUUUGCUACUAUGAUUCAUGCCUACAAAGCAAUGGGAAUGGCGGAUGCUGCUCAAAAUUUGGAGAAUAAGAUCUUUAUGACCGAACAUGAUCCAGGAACACGGAUGAUUGAGGGCUAAUAUGAUCAUAUAUAAUGUGGAUGAUAUGUUUUCAAAGAAGGAAGACAUGAUAAGUUCACUAUCACUGCAUCUUGCCCGAUUGAACUAUGAGCUAUGGGGGAACAUCGAACAUUAGGGUUUAACGUUCAAGAGUUUGCCCCAGACGCCACCAUCGUUUCAGCUGGAUUUUAUGCUGCAAAGGGCGAACCACUUGCAUGCUGUUAUUUCUAGAUGUAUUGACGAUCAAGAAACAAUUUUUGCCCUAAUAUGGGACCCGUAUUUUCAGAUCUGCAAUCACAAUGGGGAUCAUAUGCUUUUCAGGAAAUAAAAAAGAAGGAAAAGCGCUGAUUGGUAACCACCAUUGCAGAAAGUGGGACCAAAAAUGUUUCUACAGCAACAUCUUGUCU
RNA transcript from Helianthus annuus (common sunflower), 2123 nucleotides. It is a transcript of the gene named pentatricopeptide repeat-containing protein At3g53170, with no coding region annotated. The transcript is spliced from 6 exons. NCBI's taxonomy places the organism in Eukaryota, Viridiplantae, Streptophyta, Magnoliopsida, Asterales, Asteraceae. The record is from RefSeq and is a predicted model, not a curated record.